AACGAACGCUGGCGGCAUGCCUAACACAUGCAAGUCGAACGGGACCUUCGGGUCGAGUGGCGCACGGUUGCGUAACGCGUGGGAACCUGCCCUUAGGUUCGGAAUAACUCCCCGAAAGGGGUGCUAAUACCGGAUAAUGUCUUCGGACCAAAGAUUUAUCGCCUUUGGAUGGGCCCGCGUUGGAUUAGCUAGUUGGUAGGGUAAAAGCCUACCAAGGCGACGAUCCAUAGCUGGUCUGAGAGGAUGAUCAGCCACACUGGGACUGAGACACGGCCCAGACUUCUACGGGAGGCAGCAGUGGGGAAUAUUGGACAAUGGGCGAAAGCCUGAUCCAGCAAUGCCGCGUGAGUGAUGAAGGCCUUAGGGUUGUAAAGCUCUUUUACCCGGGAUGAUAAUGACAGUACCGGGAGAAUAAGCUCCGGCUAACUCCGUG
RNAcentral lists this ribosomal RNA (433 nucleotides) under uncultured bacterium. Its description in RNAcentral is "partial 16S ribosomal RNA". It matches the Rfam family "Bacterial small subunit ribosomal RNA", at positions 29 to 507 of the family's 1533-position model. The record is from RNAcentral.